GUCUUUUUUUGGUAAAUUCUCUAAAAUAAAUAUGAUCUAAGUUAAGGUUUGGUUGGAUUGUACCGGAACAUUAUGAGUAUAAGUGAAGAGUUGUAACUUUUAUUUACAAUUGAUAAAUUGUAAAUAAACUACAUAUCUAAGACCAUCUCUAUUGGGAGUAUCUCAUAAGAGUUUCUCACAAUUAAAAAAAUAAAAAUAAUGAAAAUGAAGGAGAGAGAGUGUAGAAAGUUUCUCACUUGAGAAACUCUGAGAUAGUCUCUACAACCCAUCAUGACAAUUAUCAUCUUACUAUUGGUUUAAUUUUUUAACAAAAAUAUUUUUUUAAUCAAAUAAUCAAAUUAUAAUAUAAUAUUAAUAUU
Molecule: small RNA, 359 nt
Filed under: Arabidopsis thaliana (thale cress)
Lineage: Eukaryota; Viridiplantae; Streptophyta; Magnoliopsida; Brassicales; Brassicaceae
Description: ATSL242650
Source: RNAcentral